Molecule: ribosomal RNA, 809 nt
Filed under: Arthroderma tuberculatum
Lineage: Eukaryota; Fungi; Ascomycota; Eurotiomycetes; Onygenales; Arthrodermataceae
Description: eukaryotic LSU rRNA
Rfam family: Eukaryotic large subunit ribosomal RNA
Source: RNAcentral
AACGGCGAGUGAAGCGGCAAAAGCUCAAAUUUGAAAUCUGGCUCCUUAGGGGGUCCGAGUUGUAAUUUGUAGAGGAUGCUUCGGGUGCGGCCACGGCCUAAGUUCCUUGGAACAGGACGUCACAGAGGGUGAGAAUCCCGUCUUUGGCAGUUGGCCCGCGCCCGUGUGAAGCUCCUUCGACGAGUCGAGUUGUUUGGGAAUGCAGCUCUAAGCGGGUGGUAAAUUUCAUCUAAAGCUAAAUAUUGGCCGGAGACCGAUAGCGCACAAGUAGAGUGAUCGAAAGGUUAAAAGCACCUUGAAAAGGGAGUUAAACAGCACGUGAAAUUGUUGAAAGGGAAGCGCUUGCGGCCAGACUCGGGCGCGGGGUUCAGCGGGUGCGCGUCACCCGUGUACUCCCCGCCGCCCGGGCCAGCAUCAGUUCUGACGGCCGGUCAAAGGCCCCCGGAAUGUAUCGUCUCUCGGGACGUCUUAUAGCCGGGGGUGCAAUGCGGCCUGUCGGGACUGAGGAACGCGCUUCGGCUCGGAUGCUGGCGUAAUGGCCGUAAGCGGCCCGUCUUGAAACACGGACCAAGGAGUCUAACAUCCACGCGAGUGUUCGGGUGUCAAACCCGUGCGCGCAGUGAAAGCGAACGGAGGUGGGAGCCUUAGGGCGCACCAUCGACCGAUCCUGAAGUCUUCGGAUGGAUUUGAGUAGGAGCGUGGCCGUUGGGACCCGAAAGAUGGUGAACUAUGCCUGAAUAGGGUGAAGCCAGAGGAAACUCUGGUGGAGGCUCGCAGCGGUUCUGACGUGCAAAUCGAUCGUCAAAUUU